GGAUCCUCUCCACAACUUUUUCUCCCCACAUCUAACCCAUCUUUUCACCACAGCAUGACAGCACAUUAAUGAAUACAACCAACGGCCAAGAUUAGAUUUCAGCUCCAGCGUUAACAAAACUACGUCGUUUCUUUUACUUCCCCUAACGCAGCUAACGUCUUCUCCUUUCUCUCCGUUUGUUCUCUUUAACCGUUCAACGCCAUCAAAUUCGGAAGAAAAAAUAACCCACCAUCGUUGAUUCUGUAUCCCCAAACAUGGAGAAGAAACACAACCCCUGCUCCCAAUCCGUCCGGUGAUUUUGGUUCGAUAAGUCCGGCGACUCCGGUGCAAUCAUUCCGGCAACUCCGGUGCAAUCAUGCGGUCCAUUCUGGAUCAUGAUUUUGAUCUUCAUCCCAAUUAUUGGUUCCUAAAAAGUACGGGAAAAUUCCCAAAAUUUAGAUAUGGGGGUUUGAGUGCUGCAAUUUAUACUGAGAUUUUUGACGCCUUUCUUUAAGCUUUAACAUACCAAGUGAAGAAAAUGCUUUCAGGGGUCUACACAUCACCAAGAUCAUGAGCUGCUAUUCAAAAACAAGGAGAGGGAUUUGAAAGCAUUCCUUGGCAUUUUCAAAGUAAAGGACUGAUCAAGCAUUGUGUCGGUUGAUACUCAAUUAGCCUGAAUAAGAGAUAUUUGUGUAGUGCUUUUGUUUUGUAUAGUGUAGUGUUUUUUUUUUCUUUUUUUUUUUUUUUUUUGUCUUUGAUAAGCUUCAAGGCUAUUCCCUUGGCUUGACUGUUUCUUGGAAGGAUUUCAUAAAUGAAAGAAUGACUUUUCA
This is a long non-coding RNA of Rhododendron vialii, 809 nucleotides long. RefSeq lists it as uncharacterized. Lineage: Eukaryota; Viridiplantae; Streptophyta; Magnoliopsida; Ericales; Ericaceae. The record is from RefSeq and is a predicted model, not a curated record. The transcript has 2 exons.